UUUUCAGAAAUACGUUUUAUCCUCUAAACAUCAGAUCUUUGUAUAAUAUUUUGAUAUUUCUGUUUAUAUCAUUUUUAGAUCAGAAUCUCGCAUGUGUGCCAUCCUGGAACAAAAAGUACUUGUUUUUUAUAUCAUGAUUAACAUAAAGUCUUCCAGAUGCAUGUAGUAGAAUUUGUUUUCGUAUUUUCCCCUGUGAAUAGGAAUGUUUUUCAUAUGAUCACUAUUCAUCCACUGUAGAAAGUUGUCAAAUGCAAUUUUGAUUUUAUUACCAAAGAAAUAAAAGAUAAAAUCUU
This 293-nucleotide long non-coding RNA is filed under the name Mytilus galloprovincialis (Mediterranean mussel). The record is from RNAcentral. Lineage: Eukaryota; Metazoa; Mollusca; Bivalvia; Mytilida; Mytilidae.